UAACACGUGGAUCAUACACCUUUUAGUGGGGAAUAACUUUGGGAAACCGAAGCUAAUACCGCAUAAUCCCGAGAGGGGAAAGCAGCAAUGCGCUGAUAGAGUAGUCCGCGGCUGAUUAGCUAGUUGGUGAGGUAAUGGCUCACCAAGGCUGUGAUCGGUAGCCGGCCUGAGAGGGCUCACGGCCACACUGGCACUGAAACACGGGCCAGACUCCUACGGGAGGCAGCAGUGGGGAAUCUUGCACAAUGGGGGAAACCCUGAUGCAGCGACGCCGCGUGAGUGAUGAAGCCCUUCGGGGUGUAAAGCUCUUUCGACGGGAACGAUAAUGACGGUACCCGGAGAAGAAGCUGCGGCUAACUACGUGCCAGCAGCCGCGGUAAUACGUAGGCAGCAAGCGUUGUUCGGAAUUACUGGGCGUAAAGCGAGUGUAGGCGGUGCUAUAAGUUUGGUGUGAAAUCUCCCGGCUCAACUGGGAGGGUGCGCCGAAGACUGUAGUGCUAGAGUGUGGGAGAGGUAGGCGGAAUUCCUGGUGUAGCGGUGAAAUGCGUAGAUAUCAGGAGGAACACCUGCGGUGUAGACGGCUUACUGGACCACGACUGACGCUGAAACUCGAAAGUGUGGGGAGCAAACAGGAUUAGAUACCCUGGUAGUCCACACCCUAAACGAUGCAUACUUGGUGCGAGCGAUUCAUUUCGUUCGUGCCGGAGCUAACGCGUUAAGUAUGCC
This 726-nucleotide ribosomal RNA is filed under the name uncultured Acidobacteriota bacterium. RNAcentral describes it as "bacterial SSU rRNA". It matches the Rfam family "Bacterial small subunit ribosomal RNA", at positions 111 to 870 of the family's 1533-position model. Lineage: Bacteria; Pseudomonadati; Acidobacteriota. The record is from RNAcentral.